Molecule: long non-coding RNA, 9865 nt
Organism: Falco peregrinus (peregrine falcon)
Lineage: Eukaryota; Metazoa; Chordata; Aves; Falconiformes; Falconidae
Exons: 3
Source: RefSeq, a predicted model, not a curated record
CUGAUGAAGUUCUUAAAGGUAUCCAUGAGGUGCCUGACCCAUCUUUGCUCAGCCUGACACCCGUUCUCCAGCCACAGGCAGGGGUGCUGGCAGUAACCUCGAUCAGUGAUGCCAGUGUCUGGCAGCUGUGGGAGUGCAAGCCUGACCUCAGAGCUAUCUACUCCACUGAGGAUGCAUAGGGUGUUGCUGUUGUGUGGGUCUGAUGCUUGGGCUUUGCAAAUACUGCCCCGGGCUCUUUUGACUUGCAGGUGCAAGUGAGACUGAGCUGAUGAAUGUUUGGGGAAAUGGAUCAUCUUGUGUUGAGGUUUUUUUUGAUUGCAUGGGGUACUUUGACAAGGAAACCAGAGUGGACAGAGGGGAAUGAGGAAAUCAGUAAACCAGUACUGUCUGAGUUAAGGUAGAGAGGACCUCUGUCAGUAGCUCAUUUCAUGAACAUCUUGUGGGGCUGUAAUGUCCCAAGUCCUAAGGUGAAGAAUUGUGGCUAGCAUACAUCUGGAAGCCAGGAGCACAAGCAGAGACAGUUACGGGCUGGAUGCAGAGGAACUGGAUGAAAUAAUGUUUGCAAUGAUUGCUUUGGUGUUACGGUUCACCCAGCUCCUUAUGCCUCACAGCACUCCUCACUGCAUGAGGAUGGCAACCUCUACCCUGGGGCUUCUCCAGGAAGUAGUCAGGAUGAAAAUAAUUGUUCCUGUUUCAGGACCUAGAUGAAGUAUUUAUGUGGCCCUCUGUUCUCCAGGUAUGGCUGCCUGACUAGGGAGUGUGUGGUGGUGGUGGGGAAUUGGCUUGGCUCCAAAGAAAGAUCAGGAAUUGUGGAAGAUCUAGGUGAUAUAAGCACUCGUUCUGUAGCUUGGUUUCCAAAACAUGGAUCUCCUGUGAUGCGAAAUGGAAGCUGGUUUUAAUAACAUGAACUGUGGGGCAGACAGUACAUGUAGCUGUGGGUCCUGGAGUAACUUCAGGGAUGCUGCAGAUGUACUGUAAUAUAGAUGAGCUGCAGGAUGGUGUCCACAGCCUGAUCUGUGUGUGGAGGUAAGGGUGUUGUUUCAGAGUCCAGAACAUCUACUCUUCAGUGUGGAUGGGGUCAACCUGCUCUAGAAGCACAGUAUGUUGAGUAGUCCACAUCAGCUGACCCUGGUGCUAUACUUGUGUUGCUGUCUUCUGAAACUAGUUUCCAGUUUUAAGUUGAACCCUCUUGUUAGACCCUGUGUUACUAGAAUUUUAUCUAGAUGUGAGAGAAGACAUUUUAGAUGGUUAGCUGUUGAUGAUACUGCCUUCAUCUCCUGCUGGCAUGGAAGUGAAUAUGCUAAAUGUGAAAUAGGAAAGAUGAAGUGAGCCUUGUCUGAAGGGUCCCACUUGACUUUAAUCCACUUCACUUUAGCACCUGGCACUUACAAGAUCUUUUUAGCCUUGAAUGUGCAGGAUUUUGGGUAGUGAUCUAAUGAAAAUUUGUGUAUUAUGCCCACAGGGCAGGAGUAACAUACCUUUCUCUUCUGCCAUGCAACAAUAGGCACUUCAGAGAACUCAAAUUAUAAAGCAGAGCUGAAAUGGCUGUCAUGGGGCAGUGUUCACCAGACUCCACCUGGCUGAAUAGGGGAACCCACUGAAAUGCCACGAUGGUAAUGCUGAGCAUGCAGAGCUCCAGCUGAGGAAGAAAAUUACUCUCUGUUCUGCCCAAAUUCCUUAAUGAAUACGAACAAUGAUUUUGAUUCAGUCUUUGUGAUUUAACAUGUACAUUGGUGACAUGAAAGUUGUUUUAAUAGGGGUCUUUGGCCUGUCAAGCAGCUAACCCAUGCUGGGGUUGAUGGUUCCGCUACCUCUUGGUUGCUCAGACUUGGAGACAGGCGGGGAGGCGGGGCAGAUGGAGUGCUCCAUGUGUUGCCAGAUCAGUAUGCAGAUGUUAUCACUUGUGUACAAAUAAGUGAAAUAAGUACCUGUGUAGGUGGAGCAUAGCUUGCUUCUGCUAGGAGCUGAAUGCAGAGCUUGUGGCUUGUUGGUAGAAGUGUUAUUAAAAUCAAGAAACACAUUGUCUCCUCUUCUUAUACCCCUCUCCACCUGUGUUUUUUCUCCUUUUGAUGAUACUCUGUUCCAGUCCUUCUAGUUUUCCCAUUUGGCAAUGACUAUAGUUAUUAUACUUCUACUUGCUUUGCAAGUCUCUGUCAGUUCAUUUUAGUCUGUGCAUACAAAAAACAUUUUGCAACCCAACGACUUUUUUUGAAAUGGUAAAAUCCUUUUCAGCAAUCUAAUUUCCUCCAGCCUGUCUUUCUCCAUAUCCUGUUAAGUUAGCGAAGUACACAGCAUGGAGUUUUGUACUGGUUUUCUCCUUUUAUUCUGUCUGUGGGAGGACAAAUGAUAACCAAUCUCACAUAAAGCGGGACAGGUGCUGACAGAUGAGAUCUUACUGAAAAUCUGCUGAUAUAAAUUUAACCUACAAAUGUUUUAAAAAAAAAAAAAAAAUUGACCUGGCAGAGUGAAUUUACUUUUGAUCAGCAUGUUGCAUGAUAACCUUGAAGGUUAAAAAUAAAAACAAAUCUCCAACCUUGCUCCAAACCAAAACAAAAACGCCUACUUUGGUGAGCCUGUAGACUACUAACUUGAGCAGGCUAACUGUUUUCUCUUACAAGAUUUCUUCUGUGUUGAUGGAAACAACUUUUAACACAUGAUAAAUAACCAAGGAUCUGUAAGAGAUGCUGGAAGGAGGUGGCUGGAGCACUUAGACCUUCACAGGUAGUUUUACACUUGCUUAAAAACAAGGAUUUAUUUCAGCUUAUGGGCACCUGACAAAAGCAACAUAUGGCACUUCGUGAAGUUAUCCCCUUGUCAGCUGAGUUUUAUUAACUUUUUCUAAGUCCUGUUUUAUGUCUGCCCACGUCCAAGGUAUUUGGAUCAACUUACGUGUCCUUCACUGGCUAUGAGAAUGCAAGUAGUUAACUGUGAGUUAUUGCUGCUUAGGCCCACAGUAACUUAUUAGAUGUGUUUGAACCCUGACCUGAUUUACCCAUGGUUACAUAAAUAAUCUGAGAUAGAGCCAUGAAGAGAGGCCAGGUUUCUUGGCUUCUGAUAUUGUACCCUUAUAAUGAAGUUAUUUUGACUCUACUCGGUCAGUUCCUGCCUCCUGAAUCAGUGUCAAAUUAACAUGCUGCAUCAGGUAAUGGUUUUGGCUGUUACAAAACAUGUUCUGUGUAUGCAGAACUUCUAUCAAAACAUCUUUCUUCUGUUGUGAUGAAGGUGGAUCAGGAACUACCUCUGUUUUAUGUUGAUAGUAGUGUAUUUUUUCACAUGUGAAUCUUUAAUGAAGAAGAUAAACGUGGUUAUUUUCACAUCUGUGGAUUAAAAAGGAUGCUGAUGAAAAAAAUGCAAAUUCAACAAGACGAUAUGUUUGAAAAAGGGUGGAUUGUGCCAUAAAUAACGAGUAGGUGUGGAGAGUGGGCUGUUUGGCACAGAGCAUCACAGCUGCCCAGUAAUUGGUCGUGAUGUGCCAAGGGGAGUGCAUUUGAGAGAGGGAAUAUGGCUGCAUUAUUGCAUUUACAUGCUGCAGGAAUCAUGUGGAUAUACAUCAUUUAUGCCUGUAUGUGCCAUUUCCAGUAGCUGGCUGACUGUCACUUCACACUGACUUAAGUACUAUAAAAUAACAGCUGUCACACCUCAUGAGAACCACAGUCUAUUGUAACAAUAUCAUAAAUCUGUUUAUUUGCUGUCCAUAAAGCCUAAGGACCACAGAAACGUACUCUAUGAAAUAAACAACAAGCCAUCCUUUAGUGCGUUUUUGUAAGCCAUACAAUUCUUUUCAAGGCAAAUAAAUAUACAAAUUAGGCUCAGAAAAUGUAUUCAUCACCUAACAUAUUUUAGAAAUAGAGACUUGUUUCCUCUGAACAUGCUUGAAGGUUUUACUCCAUUUCAAAUCUCAAAAAACAGCAAGCAAACAUGUACCCAAAAUGCUGCCUGGGAGAUUAUUUUGCCUCAGAAAGAUGGUUGUUUUGGUUUGGGUUUUUUUGUUUGUUUUUGUUUUCAGAAAUCAAUUGACAUGCUGUUCUUUCUGUAGACAUUAUGUUUCUUCUUGCCGGAACCGUUACAAAGAACUGUUGUAAAAGGGGAAAAAAAUAGUCCUCAAAAUUUUGUUGCAGUAAAAAUAUGAAAGAACAGCUAUAAGAGUGAUAUCUUCACAAUUAUUUCUUGUAGAAGUAAUUUAGCAGUAUCAGUGACUAUUGUAACUUCCUGUGGAAUAGUGCUGUCCUAGGGAACAAAACCUUCAUAGCUGCUCAACUGAGCUGUAGAGCUGUAUGAAGUGGAAGUGGACAUAAACCAAUACUAAAAACUUGAAAGAAGAAAAGAACAAGAUUUGCCAUUUAAGGCAGAUACAAUUGUGGAAAAAUUAUUUGAGGUAUUUUCCUGUGCAGGGUUCUCAAGUGUGGCUUUCAUAACACACUGAAGCAAAACAUUAGUGAUACUGCGUCAGAUUUAUCUUGUAUUUAUUAUAUGGCAAGUAAUUCUGAUGCUUCACUACUUAUGAGUGUUUUUGAGAAACUUUUGAGCAGCUUGGAUGAUUGAACAAUUAGUGGCAAAUGGAAUUCAAAGCAGGUGAAUGUGAAGUGAUGGUCAAGGGGUAAAAUGAAAAAUAUUAGGCCUAGAUGUGACCGUUACCAUUGACAAGACCUUGUAGCUGUAGGGAACAGGUCCAGGAAAACAUCAGCUCUGUGCUUAGGGGCAAUAACCAAAGCAAACCACAUUUUAGGAAGGAGUAAACAACAAAGAGAACAUUGUUACGCCACCUUAUAAAUCCAUGGUUUACCUGUCCCUUGACUACUGUGGGCAGCUCUGACCCCCUUACUUUCAAGACACCGUAUUAGAACUGGAAGGGAUUUGGAAAAUGACAGCAAGGAUAAUGAGAUGGAAGGGAUUGCACAGGAGGAUUCACUAGAGCAGAUUAGCAUUCUUCAGCCUUGAGAAGUGGCAGGGGGUAUGCAGACACCUGCAGUCGUCAGUAGUAAUGAGAUAAUGGGUAGGGGUUGACUGUUCACUGUCUUUUGGGCUACAAGGACCAUUCAGUUCCAGGAAAAUAAGCAGUUUGUCAUGCAAGAGAUGGUAGACUUAUAGAAUGUGCAAAAAAAUAGGGUGCUGACAAGACUAUGAGAUAGAUUCAAGGUGAAACGGAACAAAUCUUGGAAGAGUUUUCUGUUGGGGUUUAAUAAACAGAUAAAUCUCUUCAAGCUCAGGAAUUCCCUGAGCAGAAAAUAUUUGGAGCUGUGGGGGGAGCAGAAGGGAAAACCACCAGAUGUGCUUACCCUGUGCUAAUCUUCCUAGGUGUUCAUGUACGGGAACGGCUGGAGACAAGAGUAUUAGAUUUGAGAUAGUGCAGACAUUCUGAUGUUUUAAGACUCUUACAAUCCCAUACUAUAUUUAAGUUUGUUAAUCAUUCUGUUGCUUUUUGUGAUCGCCCUCUAGCUGGUUGGUAUGUCUUCUAGCAAGUGUGGUCUUGCUGGUGCAUUCCUGCUCAGCUCGGUGUAAUGUUCUCUGUGCAGAUACAGUUCUGUCUCCUGUUACUCCUGAUUUUUUCUGUACUGUGGUUUUUCAGGACAAAUUCUGACUGCAUGCUUAGUGUUAUUCAUUAAUGUUGUUAAUGUUCUUUAUUAGAACAAAGAACUUCAGUUGUUCUCUUGUUCGCCCAUGUUAGUAAUUUCUUACAAGCUAGACUACUGUGCCUGCUCUUCUGAGAGCUAGAUUGUAAAAUAAAUGGAUAACUGGAAGUGAUACAAUCUGAAUUAUACAGAUCAGAAUUAAAGAGAGAAUUAAGUAAUUAGAUCAAGAGAAAAGAAAGGCAGAUAUAUUUAAAGGAACAGUAUAAGAAAUUGAGUCUUAUUUGCAUUCCACAUCUUUUUUUUACAGUUUGCUAUGAAAAUAUAUAUGCAGGAGUAUAGAAAAUCCAGAACAGAGAUUUGUUACAUAUCAUGCGCCGAUUUGACACCCAGGUCCUAGCUUGUGAAGUCAGACUGUCAUGGAGAAGGUUUGGUCAGUGGACUAUUACUUACGUAGAACAAGUUCAGCUAGUUUGGAGAGGCCAGCAGUUAGGAUGGACUGCAGCUUCCUCAGUUAGUAAGUAGUAAGAUAUUUUCAGAAGUCUUUACCGUGUGUAUCUCUUAGAAUUACAUGCAUAUUGUAUUCUCCCUGAAAAGCCAAACACAUGGAUAAAAAUGCUUCUCAGAAAAGAUACCUUGGGUUCCGAUCUACUUUUGUAAAUGAUCUUCUCUUCUACUUGGUUAGUUUUAUAAAGACUGGGGACUGAUUGCUCAGGGACACCUGAGAUUGUCCCCUCUUUUUUUCUUGCUCUUACACGAACUCAUACACAAACAUGGAUACACACUCAGAGUAUCUUGUGCUGCUGUUACUGUGCAACAGUGUGCUCUCCCGAGUCUGUACCUCUGUGACACCGAACUGUAAGCACAGAUACAGCCAUACAUAGCUGUGAGAUACGGGGAGCACAGUCAUAUCAAAGGGUGUCCUGUCCUCCUUGCCAUCCAGAAUUAGUGUUUGUUUUGAGAGCAGCAAAGCAAGAGUGAACUGAGUUCCCAGAGUCACAGAUAUGUCCUAACCUAAGAAUGGUGGAACAGAGGUGGAGAAAUCCCAGCUCCCAGUGCAAUAAUGCUGUGUCAGGAAGGAUUUCUGACAAUAGAUUUUUUUUUCCCCCCUCAAGGUUCAGUUAUUUAUCACAAGCUGCAGUUGUAAGAAGUUAAUCCUCUAGGCACAGAAGGGGAGUCAAUGUUUACCAGCCCUGUAGCUAAUGAUAUACUGGAAGGGCUUAGAAUGUUUUUACUCAGACAGAACAGCACAGUGACACAGUAAAGACCUGGAAAACAGACAGCAAACUUUGCUUUAGAUAUGCAGUCAGCUCCAAGGGAGAGAUUCUUGGCUCUAAGGAAGAGACUCUUUGGAAGUUCAUUUGGCAUUGCUAUUGCUUGCUCUUUACCGCCUUUUAAAAAGACUCAACCUGUCAUCAUGUGGACUAUGGGAGGAAAAUAAUCAACACUGGCUCUUGGAGGGGUUCCCUAGUAGGGAUUAGGAAGGUGGCUGGAAAGAGUUUGAGUAAACAGUCUCUGCGUGCUGGGUGUAGGUAAGUAACCUUUUCAACUCUACUUGUCCUUGAGCCUGGAGCUAUUUGCGUGAUUGAGCAAGAGGGAUGACUGAGAAACAAACUAGGCAAGGAUCCAGUUGUUUGUGGUCACUGCCAGUUCUUCUGGUUACUCAGAACAAGACUGGUAGGAUUUAAGAAAAGCCCUGCAAGGUUGGUCAUAGGGGUGGGUGUUCAGAAACUCUUCAGUCACAGCGAAGAAAUGAGUGGUGGCUGCCUUGACUUGGUUUAGUUUAACAGACAGUGGAAGCUUUUCAUCAAAAGACUGCUAUGAUCUAGUUUUUCUUUCCUUGGGCAAGGGGUACAUGAUUAUUCAAUUCCAUGUGCCAGAGGAUUUAAAUGCAAUGAAUGACUUAUAUGAGAGUUUGGGCAGUUCAGGGCCUUUUCUCAGGGGCAUUGUAAAUUGGUCGGAGUUACUUCCAUGUAAAGUAUGGUGGAGAACUCUCAGGUCAUUGCAGGCUGAUGGGGCCAGAAAAUUUGUGAGUCACAGGGAGCAAGGCUGGGAACUGAUAAAUUAGCUGAAUAUCAUAGUCAGUUCCUGUCUCCUCAACAGGAGUGUGUAUCUUUGUAACACUGUAAUUGUCUGGAAAGACAGGUAGGUGAUUACAAGUACCUCUUAACAGCAAGGUUUUAGGAAAAUAUAUCGGUUAAAGAAGAUGUAAAAUGGAGAUGAGGGUAGCAGUAAAUGAGAUGAGGAGGGGCUACAGCCUGACAUCACAUCCCCACUGAAUACAAACUGUCCAGGAAGGAAGGAGCCUGUGUUCUGCCUGCACUUGCUGGUAGCUCUCAGGUUAAUAGUUAAACCACCUCCUUGGCACCAUACUUCUGUCUUUGAAUGGUAAGGAUAGUAAUUUUGUCUCCUUUCUGACUGUCUUUUAGUGGAAAAAGAAGCAUGCUUUUGAGGCAGCACAGUUCAUGUGGGAUCCACCUAAACAGCAGUGGGGGCAGGAGGCCCUGUCUCAGGGCAGGUUUGGUCCCUUAGCACUGGGACCAAGUUGCUGGACUUGCAGAACGUCUCCUUAGCAGAGGAGACCGCUCUCAGGUGCCCUCAUCUGGCUGUUUAAGGUAUGAAGAUGUCCUUCAGCAUCUUCUUCAAAGAGCCAGCAAAACCAGCCAAGUCCAGCCUGAAUGCUUUCCUUGACAAUGGAGCCUGAGCAUGGUAGGUGGUGUAUGUGGGUGUAGAGCUGGCUAGGAAGAGAUAGGAAAAAGUCUCAGAGACUUGGAGAAAAUCUGAAUUAUCUCUUUUAAAUAAUUCUGUGUGAGAUGAAAAGACAGAUUGUUUAAUUCGUAGUUUUAUUAUAAACUAAUGCUUUUCCUAAGGGAGGUAAUUUCCUUCUAUAAAAAUUAAUAGCUUUCCUUAGCACUUCAACAAUGGAAGGAGAAUUAUCCUCAGUACUUCCGGAUUUGCACUCCGGACUAAUGAGAGAUUAAACCUAGAUUCUCAGUGUAUUUUCACACAUAACUUUGUGUGCUCCUGGUAGCUUGCCAGGCCUGUUUGGUUUAGAAGGACCAUUUGAAUGCAUUGAAUUGUUUGCUAAGGUUUGUAACUAGGAAGCGAUCCAAAACAAGGAGCUGGUCCAAACACUCCUGAACUUCCUGGCAAGACUAACUUCAAAACUUUAUGGAAUCAAGGGUAUGACCUGGCAGCCGAUGGAAUUAGCAACAGAGCAUUCAGCAGCAAACUCUUCAAACAUCUCAGGCACAGCUUUACUGCCAACUCUUUUUUAUCAACUUCAGAGCUGCAAUACUUUCAAAAGAGAAUGGACCAUACAUGGAUUUAAAAUGCUGAAAGGUAACACUGAAAAAAUUGAUUUCUUCCCAAUCCCUCACUGCAGCUUCACACACAGAGAGAACAUACAGUGCAUCUGCACAGGCUUCAGCAGCACGCUCAGAAUAUAAAGACCCCCAGCCUGAACUGUGCCAGCGCUGCCUUGAGUGUAGUCCAAGGAGGUGGGUUAGAAAUGGGGUUGUCCUGUUUUUCUGCUCCUGAUUUCUGGAGAUCAGCCAGACCUUGGCAUACUUGAAAGCAAUUAGGGAAAACAAAACAAAACAAAAAGCAGGUCAAUGUAACAUUGCUGAGAGCCUGGCACAGACCAUUUAUCAUCUGAAUUAACCUUUCACACCUUGCCCUACUGAGAUGACAUCAUUUUUUCUCUUCUUUGUGAGGAGAACCUGGGAACAAAUGAUUGCUGAGGCCACGCCAAAAACAGAGAAGGGGAAACAAGAACAUAUUCCUGGAGGGCAAGAAAGUCUGAAAAACUGAAACUGCAGGAAAACAGCAUUUUAACGUUUCACCACUGGAUGGAGACAGCACUCUAAAACUUCAAUAACUUUUGAAUUUGUUGGAUGAAUGAAAGAUGAAUUAAAUGAACCAGAAGAUAAUGAUAUUCUUAUAAAUCCUGUGGAAAUAGCCAGCCAGACAGACUGGAGACUGUUGAAGUGCCCUGACUGAAGGAAAGGCUGAAGUGUGAGCUCAUAUAUUAGAGGACCCACCCUGGAGAGGGCUCUUGUAAGUGCCCCUUCCCUGGGAGAAGCUUUAAUCAGAGUUUGCAAUCAACCACAAGAUGAAAAUCCAUAGGCAACCAGAAUUCAUCCGUUCAAUAAGCACUAGAACUUUUCCUUAAAAGCAACAAACAGAAGAGCUGACCUACUCCAUUACCAUCUCUCCUCUGCCUCCAGGUCACAAAGUCUGUACAGAGUUUAAAAGCUGAGAAUUUUCACAAAUAAAAGCAGCAACAAAGAAAAUAA